CAACUUCAAACACAACAUCAUCACCAGAAGACCUAAUCCCAGUAAUACCCCACCACUUAAAAAACGCACGAACCCUAAUUCCAUCAAGCUCCGCAAUUUUCCCUUUCACAAUCUUCCCUGUAAUUGUAUCCGAAUACGUAGCAACGUAAUUAUCAGGUGGAAGCGUGAUUUUACACGCGCCGGCGAGUUUGACGGAGAAUUCGCCGGAGGUUUUGUUGAUGAAGUGGUUUAAGACGGUUGUUGCGGGGAGAAGACCGAUUGGGAAACCGUAGGUUGCGAGUUCUAUGUGUGCUGGGGAUGGGAUUGGUUUGGGGGUUUUAGGGUUAGGGUUUUGAAUUGAUUUUGAUGUGAGAUUAAGAAGAAGAAUGAACACGAUGAGAAUUUUUGGAUUCAUGGUUGUU
This 401-nucleotide long non-coding RNA is filed under the name Medicago truncatula (barrel medic). RNAcentral describes it as "long non-coding RNA (MTRU_LNC004519)". The record is from RNAcentral. Lineage: Eukaryota; Viridiplantae; Streptophyta; Magnoliopsida; Fabales; Fabaceae.